CCAACCCAAUGUGAACGUUACCAAACUGUUGCCUCGGCGGGAUCUCUGCCCCGGGUGCGUCGCAGCCCCGGACCAAGGCGCCCGCCGGAGGACCAACCAAAACUCUUUUUGUAUACCCCCUCGCGGGUUUUUUAUAAUCUGAGCCUUCUCGGCGCCUCUCGUAGGCGUUUCGAAAAUGAAUCAAAACUUUCAACAACGGAUCUCUUGGUUCUGGCAUCGAUGAAGAACGCAGCGAAAUGCGAUAAGUAAUGUGAAUUGCAGAAUUCAGUGAAUCAUCGAAUCUUUGAACGCACAUUGCGCCCGCCAGUAUUCUGGCGGGCAUGCCUGUCCGAGCGUCAUUUCAACCCUCGAACCCCUCCGGGGGGUCGGCGUUGGGGAUCGGCCCUGCCUCUUGGCGGUGGCCGUCUCCGAAAUACAGUGGCGGUCUCGCCGCAGCCUCUCCUGCGCAGUAGUUUGCACACUCGCAUCGGGAGCGCGGCGCGUCCACAGCCGUUAAACACCCAACUUCUGAAAUGUUGACCUCGGAUCAGGUAGGAAUACCCGCUGAACUUAAGCAUAUCA
RNAcentral lists this ribosomal RNA (561 nucleotides) under fungal sp. AM2013. Its description in RNAcentral is "eukaryotic LSU rRNA". The stretch from base 185 to 338 matches the Rfam family "5.8S ribosomal RNA". The record is from RNAcentral. Lineage: Eukaryota; Fungi.